This is a long non-coding RNA of Scatophagus argus, 15995 nucleotides long. RefSeq lists it as uncharacterized. The transcript has 9 exons. The record is from RefSeq and is a predicted model, not a curated record. NCBI's taxonomy places the organism in Eukaryota, Metazoa, Chordata, Actinopteri, Scatophagidae.
UGAUGCAGACGCCUUGCAACAAAUUCUGUCUUUGUGAAGCUUUAAAUGUACGGUUUCCUCUGAAGCUUACAGGAUAUGUACUUCCCCUUUACGCCUGAGGAUGACUGAAGACCAGCUGGCUUAAGUUUUCGAAACGGUGUUCAUCGGCAUAAAGUGUUGCUGGACGUGAAAAUGUGACAUGUCCCCCUUGUCCUGCCAAAGCAGCUCUGGCCUGUCAUGGGAAGGGACACAAGAUCAUCCUGGCAUCAUCCUUUGGGUCCUGCGCAUUGAGGAUGGGGCCUUCAGGAGGGGUCGAUUCGGCUGAUUCCGGUGCAUCCCACGCAUCCUCGAUCAGGCUACACAGAAUUCCACACCCCGAUCAGCUUUAUUGCUGUGCACAGCUGAGUUUAUAUCCCGCAUACCUCCCACAUUGUGGAAAGCACCUGAGAUAACACAAAAACCAAGGAAGAAGAGCGUCAUGUUACGGAAUGCACUGGAUAACAGUUACAUUAGAUCCUCUGCUGUUUCCACCAGCGCUGAUCCUGUGGUUGACAGCAAACUCACUUCAGACAGGAAUGACAAAGUCAACAAGGCGUUGAUGUGAACCAGCAGUGAUGUCCUGAUGUCACAGCGGGUACGUCCAACCAUGUGGGCAUCACAUGACUGAAAGAAACACUUCAUGGGUAAGAUCAUCAGCUUGACGUUGUCUUCCAAAAGUUAAUUUAUGACAUAAAAUUCAAUUCUGAAUACCACACUUAUCGUGCACAGAGCAGAGAGAGUUGCCAAACAGUUUUAGAGCUGUGUUUUUAAAUAAGAACAUCAUGAAAAUCUCAGAGCUUUAAAUCUAGAGUCCAAGCAAAAAACAACUACAGAUCAGAUUUUGGCGUGUUUUAUAAACAAUACAUGUCAGAUCAGCUUUUCUCAGUCACCCUUGUUACCUUAUGAAAAGAACUGUGCGUGAUUGUGUUUAUAAUCUCUGUGGACCGUCGUGUCUGUACAUGAAUCUGUGUGUCUGUCCAGAACUUUAGUCUACACUGAAAUUUAAUUGUAUGUUUUGCCGUAAAAUUUGUCCCACACAUCCAUGUCCCCCUGAGGAUGAACAACUGGGGCGAGCAGCCUCACCUGUACUUUGUGUUUGGUGCUAAAUACUAAAUGCUAGCAGGUUAACACACUAAAUCAAAGGUGGUGAAUAAGUUAAACACUAUACCUGCUUCGCGUUAGCAUGUUAGCAUUGUUGUGAUGAACAUGGUAGCCUGCUGGCUUAAGUGUGUAGGCUCUUAUUCUCAUUGGUUUGUGUUUAUCUACAUCCUGCCUUCAUGAGAACACUGAUUUUAAACAUUCUAUUAAAAAACAUUUGACCAAAACUCCUCUCUGGAACAAUAGAGCAUGUCAACCAGCUUUUAUCAAUCUUUUGUUAUUAUUAUUAUUAUUUGGAAUGCAAGCCCGUUCUGUACUGAUUAAAUGUAAGAAGGAAAAGGACAGUUGAUGUCCUCAUGACAACCUUGUCGAGCCUUUCUCGCUCAGACAACAAUGAUGACAACAAUGAUAUCUUGAUAAGACUGCCUGAUGAUACUUUAAUACGUUACAGAUACGAUGAAUAAUAACGACAGCUAAGUAACAAGAGAGGCUGAAACAGGAAGUUUGAAAUCAAGAGUCCUUGGUCUGAUAACUGUUUGCCUACCACAGUGUACAAUGUAAUUAAACAGCACAUUUUUACAACGAAACUCCAAGCACACUAGAGACAAGACUAAAAAAAACAUCUAAUAAUAGAUAAGAGCAACCUUGAGUUUUGAAAGUAUUAAAAUGUACAAAAACAGACACGAGAAAAUGAGAAAACCAGACAUGAAGUUUGUUUGUGGAAAACAAAACUCUUUCAUGAAGCAUCAUUAGGGCUUUAUAACGCACUGUGGGUGAAUAAUAGUAAAACUAGGGGUGUUGUUGUAGUCUUCUCCAUAUUACUGCACUGUUGCACAUAUUGUAUGAACUAUGAAGCCUGAAUCUUCAAGUGUUCAUUUUUUCAUCUUCCAGUCGACAUGAAAGCCAAAAUAAGUUUGUUGCUGGAGCUCAGAAGAGGCAUAUUUUGAAGCAUAUGACCAUUGUCUGUAUGUCUCAUGUCUGACUUGAUUAAUUUUGUCUUUGUCUGAAAAUCACUUUUAAAACUACCAUCAGUCACUGGACUUUUCUCAGUAUGAUAAGUAGGCCUACUAUAAAGUAAAAUGAAGGCCUAGGUGAAGAAAUCAGAUUCAUUUUUGCAAUAAAAUUAACAAAUUUACUUUCAAAAAGCUGUUUUUUAUUUAAAGUCUACAACCAUCUUAGACAUGUCAAGCCCCUGUUCUAAUGUCAUAUGUUAAGUGUAUCUUCAUUCUACUAAGCUUUGAAUUGCAUUGUAGAAUUUCCACUUCAGCAUAUGACUUUUCCUCAGCGUCAAGUGACUCAAUUAUUCAUUUUUGCUGUUGCAAUAAAAUUCUAACUGGCAAUUUUAUGGCACAAUAACAUAGAAUACUGACUUCAUCAGUUUUUCCGUUCAUGGUCACCAUUUUCAAGAACUAAUUUUGUUUAUUUUGCACUUUUUGGGAAAGAAAGUUUUGUCAUCGUUGAUUUUGCCCUUUAGUACAGACGACAACAUCAAGGAUUCAACUGGACAGCAGCAGCCACGCGAUGGAGAGUCAGCAAAAACCUCCGACUAAAUCUUGAGUAGUGAUGAGCGAUGAAAAUGGAGGCUAACAGACGUGUGUGUUUAAACUGGAUCACCAGCCAGCCUUCAUUCUCCCUUCAUUUUAUACCAAAAUAAACACUGAUGGUGUCAUUAUCCUAUAACCAUAAAAUGGUGCAAUCAACAUGCUAAAGCAAUAACAAACAAAAAACAUUAGCAACAUUAGCACACUGACACUAGUAAGUUGGCUAAAUUGUGAUGAUACCCUGAGUAAAUUAAGUCUCAUUUGUAAACUGCACUUUCUGACUGUGUAUAUGCUGUGGGCUAUAUUAUAUGGCUAUAUUGUAAUUCAGAGCCACACUCUCCAGCGUUGUUCAUUUAGGAGAAUUUUUUUUUUGAUUGCCACAAAAUGUCAAAUACCAGCAAGAUUCAUAUGGUGAUUGUGGCUCAGGAGGUAGAGGUGGCAUUUAGGCAUUUAACAUUGAUACGGUAGGAACAGGCAGAAAAGUUUUUUUGUUAACAUCAAAGAUAAAACUCAACUUUUCCUCACCAGGUGCUUUUGUGUGGAAACUCGGGUAGAUCAUCACAGUUUCGAUUGACCAGACUUGUGACUUGCUGGAUUUAAGCAAUGGCUUGACUUGUCUUGUUUGAAUUGAAGCAAGGCUUCAACUUGACUUGCUUCUCACCACAGUAACUUGGGAUUUUCUUGAGUCAGGGGGCCUAGGACAGUUUAAACCAGAGACAGUUGUGAUGUGUUUCUGUUUUCCAAGACAACUAACAAGAAUUUAAAAGGGAGGGUUUUUUUUUUUUCAGAAGAUGCUGGGAAACAGCCCUUGCAAACAGGAACAUAGUUUGACGUCAUAACCACACAAAACAGCUUGUCACGUAAUAUCCAGAAACUUCUUCAUUCGUCAUUCAGCAGACAAUUAGCAACGCCUGGACACUGGACAAUCCACAAACCUUCAAGAGGGGCCACAUGAGAAAUUCCUCAUCCAGACAUGCAAGAGGGGCUCGGAGAAAUGGUUUUCGUUGUUUGGUGUGGAAGAACUUGACCAGCCUGCACAGAAUCCUGACCUGACCUGACUCAAUCCAACACCUGAGAGGAGCUACAAUGACAACUGUGAGCCAAGCCUCAUCACUUAACAUCAAUGCACAACAGGCGUCCACAAACUUUUGACCACAUGGUGUAUUUUGCCAAAAAACAUCCAGAGGCAAAACUGGCAGCAUGCAGGUCGCUGUUUAUGAACCUACAGGGAGAUUUCCCUAUGACAAGAAAACUUCAAACUUCUGACAUGAAAGACAUGAGAAACGUUUGUGGUAAAGUAUGUACUUAAGCAAAAGAAGGGCAAAGGCAAGGAAAAUCUACUUGAGGUAUCACAAAUAAACGUACUCAGUGGAAAAUGUUUCAUGUGACUUGUAGAUAUUAUAACAUACAGAAUUUUACUGUUAAAGUUGGCUGAGAUGAAGCAAAUUUUUAAUUGUUUUAUAUAAGGAUCCAACUAAUGAUUAUUUUUAAUAUGGAUCAAUCUGCCCAACACAACUAUCCAGAGCCCAGAAUGAUGCCCACAGAUAGAAUUAAUUAAAAUAACUACAGGAAAAAAGGAGGAUUUGACAAGCUGGAAUUGUGCAAAGUUUGGUCUUUUGAAAAUGAAAAAUGACAAAGGCAGCUCAUAAAAUUGUUAAAUUAAUCGGUUGGGUAGUUUCAUCAAUGAAGCAUCAUAUUUUAUGUAGGAAAUUGUAAUUUGUAAAGUAACUAGUAAGUAAAUCUGACAAAUAAUUGUAGUGGGGGAAAAAAUACAUUUCCUGAAAUUUCACCCCUGAUAACAAGUAACUCAGAAGUGUUUUUUAAAAGUAGGUAAGUGAAGCCUUUGAGUGUAAUUGGGGUAAACCUGAUCCUCAGACUGCGUGACUUCAUUAAAUUAAAGACCUUCCGACUUUCCGUGGAAUAUGAUAUGCUCUCUGACUGUCUGACUGCUCAAACACAAAACUUUUUAAAUGUAGAGACACCAUAUUUGAGCUACAGUUUCACACAUCAAACCAGACCGGCAGGUUUGACAACAAUAGGAACCAAAAUUAGACAACAUUUAAAAGGUUGAAUGUGUCAUUCUGAUGAACAGAAAGCAUCAGGUAAACAAAGAUUACAGAGACACAGCAGAUGUUGCGCGGUGGCUGGGAAAGUGAUGUAACUCUGUGUUUUUUCCUGUCAUCAGACCAGUUCCCUUCAAAGACAAACACACAGGUUCACUGUAAGGCCACAGCACAACACCUUGAAGACUUGAAGGUGUCAGAAAACCUGAUGUUUGCUUUUCUUCAUGUCAGAUACAAAUACAAAAGGCUGUUGGCUGGUUAGAUAGACCUCAUUAUGCUUUACAUUCACCAGAACAACAUGAUUCUAUGUUCAAAAGCUGCUUACAUGUCACGGUCAUUAACACUUCAUAAUUUAUGACUGGUCUAUGAAAAUUAAGGUUAAAGGAGCAGUUUACUCAAAUGAAAAUUCAGUCUUUAUGUACUCAACUCUGUGUCGAUGGGAAAGUUUUUUAGCCCACAAAACAUUUCCGGAGCUUCACUCUGUUCACAGUGUUUUUCUUUUCUUUGUUCUGAAAGAGAGGAGAAGCUGGGGCCUUGUUUUAAAAUACAAAACAACAGAAAAGAAAAAUCCUAAAAUAUAAAAUGACUCCAUACUGCUUGUCCAGGGUCAUCCAAGUCUCCAAAGGCCCUGAGACGACCCAUUAUUUCAUACCCUUUUAUAAGCUUAAAUGUUUACUGCUGCUGAGCUAAAAGCGUUAGCGCGCACGCCGUCUGAAACUUGUGCACAAGCUCGAGCAACUAGAUGAGAUCAGCCAGAAUUCACCAUCUCUGCAUACCUCAGUGUUUACCUGAUAACCAUGAGCUCAUGUAAGACAAAACACCUCUGCUGAGGUUGAAGAAUUCAUCAAAACAGAACGAGAGGUACACUGAAAACACACUUUGUGCAACACAAGCUAUGUUUCUAUUUGGUGUAAAGACAUCAUUAGCAUUGCAAAGAUUGUCACAGGUUUUGUCUGUUUAUUUCAACAUGAUGAGGGGAAAUUGAAAGCUGUGAUUUUAAGGGGUUAAGACCUCAGGAUAAAUGCUGUACAACAACACGACUGUAUUUGCUGCUCUGACUGACCUAUGAGCUUCUUGUGGUGGGGGACAAGAGGAAAGAUCAAAGCUGGCACAAAUGAUGAAUUUCACUUUGAUUUUUCAGUUUCUUAAUUAAUUGUUUUGGCUAUGAAAUUGUUGUUUGAUUUGGAGUUAGAAACCUUUGGUUUUCAGUUUUAAAACUGAAACAACCAAUACUCAUGCUGAUAACCAUUUAAAUUUAGGCUUGGUAAACUAUUAAUUAUUCUUAAUUAUUGUGAUGUUUAAUUUGUCAAAAUUCUUGUUGAUCAACUACUCAGUUACUUGAUCAAUUGUUUUAGUGCUAAUUUGGAAAAACCUAUUCCAAAGUUGUUGUUUUAUUUUAUUUAGAAGAAAUUUGCUCUGACAUUCUCACAUAUAAAAUUGUCUCCCUGAAACUCGUCCUUCCUCAGCACGACUUUGAACAGCUCUCUGUCCUUCUACUUGAAGAUAAUUGAGCGAAUAAACCCCAGAGAAUCUCCUCCGCCUGACCUUCGGCCAUGUUUAGAGCCUUGCGUAGCCCUGUGUAUAAUUCUCUAAGCUGUUUGUUUGUUCCUAUGUGUUAUGUGUUUACAUGUGGCAGAAAAUAACCGGGAUCCUUGAUGAAUAUUCACGUAAACAAAGUACAGACUGUACAAGAGGACACCACAUGAGAUCCAUAUAUCAGCUGAACUCAAUGUGACAGAUAAUUCAUGGGUGAGGACAAACAAUAACUGUGACUCUUCAGAGAGCCGUAAACACACCCAAAAAAAGAAAACUGGAUUGCGUAAGUGCACAAUAUUAGAGCUCUGACAGGCAAAACUUAAGUCUGUAAUUACUGUCUUAAGUGUGGCUCAUUUCUCCAGCAAUUCCUGCCCUUGGCAAUAAUAUAGUUUUGACUCAUGCUGCUGAACAUGAUGUACCAUUCCAGUUGCAUGCAACAUGCUAAACACAGGCCCUCAGCUAUUUCACUAACAAAGUGUACAGCUUACAUACCAGUCAAGGUCUGAGGCAAACACAGAAGACAAACAUCAUUUUGAGUUAGUUUUUUUUUUUUUAUUAUUAGAAAAAACAAUUACAAAACUUUGGCAAGAUUGUGAACCAACAACUGCAUUUUGUAUAAGAAUACAUUCAUUAUUUUCAGCGUGUGCCACCGAGGUCGCACGGCUGACCCUGAAGACUUCUUUCACACUCCUAACAAGUUGAGGAAGCUGAGGACAAAACCCUCAGUUUUUUGGAAUGUUUUUUUGGUUUUUUUGUCCAUAUAUAUUUCAGUGGCAUCUCCAGCUUGAGGUUCAAUAUGAGCGCAUGAGCUUCACACAGCACCCUACAGCACCAGGGGCAUCUGGCUCCCAUCAAAAGCUCCAGACCACAUGGUUCAAAGCUCUCCAUCUCCUCUUCCUCCUCCUUUUUGUUUAGCAGCUGGGAGAGCUAAUCUAUGAGGCUUGUGCAGCUUUAAACUGCUCAUCGUAUUUAAUCACUGCGCUAAAAUCAACAGCCGCAGUGAUCCGACACCUCAGUGCCUUAAGCCUUGAAUGAACACAACACUCCUCUUGGAAUUCGGCCACAUGCAAUUCAACUAUCUUUGUUCUUUAGGUUCUUUCAGAACACAUUCAGCUCUAUGAGAAAACGGCUCCCUGAAACUCUCAUGCAAUCUUCAGUGGCAGAUAAUUAAGGCAUAUGUAUUUUUCCCUUUUACAUAUUGUCACCUGCAUGCAUAAAAUACAUCUAGUUCUUCUGCUUACUUGACUUGUCUGCUCCAUCAUCACACCUUGAGAUACUGUAUGUGCUUGAGUAACAGUAGAAAUCAUCACAGGCACACAAUGCAUAGCAAUGUAGGUUGUUAAAGUCUGUUGUGUUGCCAGUACAAGGGGAGUUUGAAACUGAGGACAAUAAUUGCACUUCUCUCUUUACGCCACUCAAAGAUGACAAUGUGCUUCUAAACAUAAUAUCAACUUAUCAGGAGCGCAUGUUUCAAACAUCUGACCACCAGAUGCAACUCCAACUCUCCACCUGACAACUAUCAAGUGAUCUUCUCCCCAGUAUGUCCCAAACUCCUUAAAUCUCCAAAUUCACUUCACACGAGGGAUUCCUUGAAUGGGAGGUAUUUGUAAAUCGCUUCACCAGGAGCUGAAGAUCACUUGGGGAGGACAGGAACUGAUGUGGAGAAGUUACUUUCCUCACAGCAGCGCAGGAAAGCACCAAACUUUACUUGAUGUACUGGAAAUGAGGUGACCUCCAAUGACAUCCAGUUCCUGUGUGCUCGGUCUCCCGACCUCUUCGUGGCACUCGCAGGCACCAUUCAUCAAAGAGAAGUAAUCCAGGAGAAGACAAAUCUCUUGAUUCGUUUCAUUAAUUUAAGUUGCUUGACGCUCAGGCAGGGCUCGAGGUUCAACACGUCAUGCAGCGAGGUCUCAUGUUGAAGGGCUGAGGGUUGGGGUCAAUCUGUAGGCAGGAAAUGGAAAUAGAGACACAUAAGAUCAAAGUUAAAAAGAUGGUUCAGCCUUUCUCUGAGCAACACAUUCAGCGCUGUACAUUCAGCGUACACCCACUGAUUUGUUUUCAUGUGGUUAGUGUCAGACAAGGCAGCUGUGUUCUCAAGAGUUUCUUAGAUGGAAAAUAUGGAGAUGUUUUAAGAAAAAAAUCAUCUAUCGAAAAAAACUGAACCAAAUAAACAGCGCUAGAAGCUGGGUGCAGCAUUUGGCGACUCACCUCGCUGUACACAGGCGGAGGUCGAAAGCGAAACUCUUGGACAAAGGCCAUGAGAGGGCGCUCCAGGAUCCCACUGAGGUCUUCGGCGGGUUGCGGGACCACCGCAUUGUGGCGCUGCUCGGCCUCCUCCGCUGUGACCACGGAGCUGUAAUCUGGAGGAGCUGCGGGGAAAGAGACGGGAUUAGUUCACUGGUCUGACUCAACAGAAGGGUACAGUUCCAACCACUAAGCUGCUGAGUCACCGCGGCAGCUAAAACUCUUUUUAUAACUGGGCUCCUACGUACGUCCUACUAUGUAGACCCACACUUCCGUGCCUGUCAAUGCCUGUAGUAUUAAAGGACACUUACGCUCAGGCUGCUCGGGGAUGGCCAUGCGCAGCCACUCCAGGUUGACGCUGUACUGGCUGCUAACGCUGGAGGUCCGACUGCCGAAGGGGUGGAGGGGGAUGGUGCCUAUGACCAGCGGGAGCUCCAGACACAGCUUGGACGUCCCGGGAACAUCAACACAAACCUGUUGGGAGGAAAAGGAGAGAGGUUUUAGCAAAGAAAAAAAAACCAGCAGCAGAGUUCAUCAGAAUUCCUUUAUUUAUCCCUGGAGGGAAAUUCUUGAAAAGACAUGGAAAGGGGCAUGUGAAUUCCUACGAAAUAAAGCACCUGUCGAGUUAGCUCACCUUGAGCAUGUACUCCACUUUGAUGAUGCGGCACUGCAGGAUGGAGGGACCCACAGGCGGGAUCUUUAUGGCGCGACCGUGCCACGUCUCCCUGCAUCUGGCGCCCACGAUAUCGCCACACAGUGUGCCCACCACCGAGUGCUUCUGCUUCAUGGUGCCGCGAGCAAUGAACGUCUGCGUCUGCGUGAUGUAGGCUUUGGGCACCACUGAUCUGGAGGUAGAGUUGUCGAACUCCGCAAAGACGGGUAUCACCUCACCUGUGGGGAGGAAAGGUAGGUUAGGAAGAGCAGACAUUUAUAAAUUGUGCUACAAAGACUGUGUGUUUUCAGGGGGAGCUGUUUUAGGUGCCAGAUUCUUACCUGGUGUGUAGCCUUUGCGGUCGAUCUUCGCAGUUACGGACACCUGUCCAAAGUUUCUGUACCACGCCCGUGCCAUUUUGUCCUUUGUUCCAGCCUGUGGCGCCUGGGUAUAAUGAAACCAAAUGAGCCAAGCAAUUCACACAGAAAAACGGGAAGUGGGUAAUACCGCAAUCAUGAAAUGCGAGGGCCGAGAUGCUCACCAGUAAGGCUGGUGUGUUGAUGUCAAUGGGCUCAAUGACCGUAAACUCCUUCUUGAUCUUCUUGACGGAGGCCCACGGCCUGUGAAGCUUCACUUUGACCCAGUAACGGAUGCUGCCGUGUUUCCCCUCAAAGGAGGUGACGAGCGUCUCCUCAGGCAGCUGAAAGCUAAAUGGAAAUUCAUGUCUGCCAGCAGGAAGGACAGUCACUUCUCCGUUAUCUGAAGAGAGGAGAAAAAAACAACACAAAACAAAUUUAACUUUGAGUUCAUUCGGGUGUCGUUUCGGUUUUGUUUUGCUCAUUUGAUUUCAAGGGUGCAAGACAGAGAGUGACUUCAACGACCAGCUUCCUUCUGUUAAAGUCACACCGAUUAUCAGGGGUAUGAGCAUGAAGUCCAUAGAUUAUCUGACUGUGUUCGAGGUGAAUCACACGAUGCAAAAAAUGAAUGCUGGCAAAUUACUUCUGAAGAAGAGAAAAACAACAAAGAUUCCUGACAAAACAACGCUCCACCUUCACAAUUAGCUCAAAAUGUUGUCUGGAAAUCCACCCAGAUCGUGUUUACUUCACGGGAGAGUGAGAACAGAUCUUUUAAGCAUGACUCUCGCUUAAAGAGAAAUCUCUGUCCUUCUCUGCAAUCACAUGGCCUCUGUGCUCGCUCAGAGGGGCGGUUCCUGCUCCAUUGUGCUGACUGGGAACAUGUUUUCCUCGAUCUGUGUUAAAACAGUCCCGUCCCAAACUGCUUUUUUUUUUCCUCCCUCUUGCUGCGCAGGUCCAACAACACGUGUUUGCGUUUAACAGACAGUGUUUUUGAGUCCCCUUUGUUGGCUGGAAGCUGCAAACUUUCCAUAACAACACCGUCACUGUCAAAUGCUGAGUGUGACUUUUCUGCUGUGUAUGCAAACAACAACAACUACAAAAAAGAAACGCAUUCAAUUCCUUCAGUGUUUUAUUAAACUUGUCUUUUAAAAAGAAAAUCCUAAGUCGAGCAGCGAGGUUGAACACCGCAAGAAAACCAGAUGAAAUCGCUGAAGCCCUGGCUGUGAAUUUCCUGUGCGCACUUUAAGCGAAAACAACUCAGUCCCCAAUGAAUGGAGACUAAAACUCUCAGGCUGCUGCGGAGAAAAACAACACACGACUUUCUUCGAAUGAGGAAAACACUGAAGUCGAGAUUUUUCUCUUUCAACAGAUGUUUUCACAAUGAGCCAGGAGGGCAAAGACAUCUGCUGCAGAAAUGUUUUACAGCUUGGGAUUUAUUUUUUUUAACUUCUAUACUGAGUUAUGACCAACAGCAAAACUUCUCGUAUGGCAGAAGAAAGUACAGACAAGCAAGCAAAAGUGCUGGAUCUCUGGGUGCUUGUCUUGUGUCUCUUACUUUGAGGAAGGACUCAAAAGCAGACCAACAACCGUGCAAAGUCUUCGAGUCAAAUCGUGCAAACUCAGCCAACUUUGCAUCUACAACAGCAACGAGUUCAACAAUCGAGUCAGAGCCAACAAAACGGAUGUGAGGAAAGCAAUUCAAGUAUAAAACGAGGUUUACAGACGGGGUGCCCCGUGUGGGGUCUCCCCCAUCACCGAGCCUGCAGAGCGGACUGACCUGCCUGCAGCAGCACCUCUCUCCGGUUCAGGUACUCCACUUCGUCGCUGUAGUUCUGUGUGUACGCGGUGCUGGAGCCGGCGGACCGGGACUCGGUCCAAUGCACUUUCGCGAACCCCUCAGCGUGGAGCUUCAGGGAGUCCACCCGACUCUCCCCGGACAGGUCCAGAACCACCCGUCCGGACACCACGUCCCCGCUGCUGAACACCGGAGGACAGUCCACCUCCGGAGAGUCGAAGACGAUGUCAAACUUUUUCAGCCUGUCGAAAAUCAUUUCUGCGGAUUUGUGCGGCUCCUCUCAAAAGGGUAAGUGAUUCCGUCCUUUUUCUGGCUCUGCAGUAUCUGAAGUUUGCUGAAAGUUAAAAGUCUUUCGAUCACUUGUUUAAAGCUCUGAGUGCUCAUCCGGAUCACAGCCCUAUUUGAGAGGACGACUAAGAAAGUGGGCGGGACUUGUGAAUUUAUUAUGAAAGGUCUCGGGGAGAGGCCCGUGCUGCCUUCAGGUACCCCUCCUUGGCACCGACUCGUCAGUACUGAAGUUGAAGUUAAGACCUGUGGCUGCCUUUCGGCUACUUCAUUUGGUCAAAACUAACGACAAAAUUCAUCAGAAAAGUUUCAAGCAUCCAACAGCAGAUUAGUGCGAGUUUCAAGCUUACAACAAACACUAGAAUCUGAGACCACCAAAAUUGGAUUGUCGGGUCGAAAACAUGAAUCAAUUCAUUUACCAAUUAACCUCCCUUUGUUUUAUAUAUUUAGGUUUUGGCUCAGGUGGCCCCCUGGGUGUACGGAGAGACAAGAGCCAUAAUAACAUCAGAACAUGUCUGGGCAAAGGCUAAAAACAAAACCAUCUCUCUGCCAGUUAUAUUUCCGUACUGAGCCUGAAGGCAGCAUAAUAAACAUGCAGGCUGGGUGUGGAGGCAGCACUGAGCAAAACAGGUCUUGGCGAUGAUUGAUGGUUACAGGUUCUUAGAAGAAAACAGGCUUACUGAACAUGCCUCCGUCUGGCAGAGAUCCGCCCUGCACUGAGGGAAAUAGUUCAACUCUGGACCAAAGCUGUUUACUCCACUUCUUCCAUGUCACUUUGAACAUACUGUUCAAGCCUGGGCUGCUGCGCACAUGGAAAACAUACAGCUAUGCUCAAAAGCACGCAACUUAUGUCACCAAACCCCCCUCAUGAAAAACAACAAGUCUCUCUACGUUUGAUAAUAAACGGGGUCAGCACACAGGAAAACUGCCAGUGAGCGAAUAAAGAAGACUUGUGCACCAACAUGCGUGAAUCAUGGCACCCGUGCAGCAUUUCCUUAACCCAUCAAAUUCACGUCCAACAUGUACAAACAAAGAAAAUUCUGAGCACAACUGAUUUUUCUUCCAAACUCUGCAGCAUUCGAUAAAACAAGCAAACACUUCUUCGCUUCUCAGAGCCUUUUCAUUCAAUGCAAAGACGAAAAUCUGAACUCUGGUCUGAGAAAAACAAAGUUGUUUACUCCUUUGUUCACUGGGGUGACUAGUUAGCUCCCCACUGCCACCAACUGGUGAAGUGGAGGCAGCGUGCGCUCCGACUGAACUGGGGAUGUUUGUGAAAAGACGGAAGACUCCAGAGAGACGGUGCGUUCACUGAGCUCUUGCCUAAAGUGAAAUAAAGUCCAGCACGCCACCUGCUGGUGAGCAGGAGCAGAGGCUGCGGCUGUACUCGGUCUCCCUGCUGCCGUCCUGAUAAGAAGAACGUGUUUCUCUGCACAGACUGAUGGGCCUGAUAAACGCUGCCGCUGCACGCAUGACUCGGUAUAAUUACCUUAGUAAGGACUGCAAGCACAUUUACUACUGCGGCAGCCUAAAGUAAACACACUGUAUACAUCCUUGAGUCUUUGUUUACCCAAAGACCUGCUGAGUGCACAAGAUUGCACAACAAAUAUUUACAUUGAAGCCCAACACACUUUAGAGCAAAAAGGGGCUUGAGAAAGUGUAAUUCUUUAGUGGCCUUAAAAAAAAAACAACAUUUUGAACUCUUAAAACUAUAACAACCCACAAAAAUAUUGUUUAAAUAAGCUGAAAAUGACGCCAUACGGCAAAGUGACUGGAGAGCCACGGCCGCAGCAGGCUGCGUGUAGAGGAGGGCGGGGCACGGGGGGCCACGUGUUGUUUUCCCGGUUGCCACAGCGACACAGGCUGCAUUUUUUUAAACGCCUUCCUUCCUCCUCACUUCCUUUCUCCUGUCUUUCACUUUCUCCUCAGUUCUUGUCCCAAAACACAACAUCCUUAUUUUGACCUUUUAACAUCUAUAUGAAAGAUGAGAAUCUGUUGGUAAUUUUUAAUUAAAACUACAGAACAAUUGCUUUUAACACGUACUUCUUUUUCUUUUUGAUUCCUUUUCUACAUGUUGAUAGAUACUAAUAGUUAGAUAAUAAUAAUAAUAAUAAUACAAAAAAUAUGAUGGAUAAUUGACGUAUUUGUUAGCUGUAGCCCAUCUCAGUCAAUGAGUGAUGUGUUGCCUUUUUUGGUAGUCUGAGUGUACAAUUUAAGCUGAGAUGAGGGUGAGAUAUUAAUACACAAAACCUGCCUCGUGUACCACAGUGCGCAUGCAAUGCAAUUGUUGACAUGGAAAUGAUGCACUGUUUGAAAUUACUUCCUAAAUUCAACUAUGUGUUUGGCCGAGUGUUAAGACAACAACACAAAUUCUGCUCUUGUCUGAAGACUCUUGUGUCCAUUUAUAUUUACCUGUCCCAGGCCCGGCGGCGGGAUUAAGUGACUGAGGAAGCUGUUAAAAACUAAGAGGGGACGAGCUUUUUCAUAAAAUAAAGUUCAUGCAUUCGAGCAUGAUUUAACCAUGCAGUAGGCUGAGAAGGGCUAAACGACAACAACACAAAGUCACUGCAGUUACUGAGUCCUACACAACAACAGCAACAACAACAACAACAAAAAGCUAAGUGAUAUCUCAGUCAGUAAUUGCGUUGUUUUUGAUGUUUACAAAGAGCUCAAACAAACACAGCCGAGAGAGCAAAGCCCCUUGUGGCGUUGGAUCCGACCUCUCCUACCAGACGUGGGAGUCAAACCAAAUAUGCUAUUUACAGAGCAUCGAAUGAAACAUUAACCACUGUCUGCAGUUUAUUUACUCUGCUACUACUGCCUACAUUCUCUGCCUCUUUGAAUUUAAGCUGGUGUCUCCCACAGCGAGGGAAUUUCACACUUAGCAGUGUAACGUCCUGUACGACACAGGACUCAGUAAACCAGUCGUGUUUAUUUGGACCCAGCGCUAAUGGAUUUGUGUUUAAUGUUAGGAUUAUGUUAUCUGGCAGAUGUAUCUGCAGAGCCAGUGUCGACUUCUCUCUCGGGUUUCCAUGCAACAGAUUUAGCCCAGGUGCCUUCUUUUUGCAAACUGCAGUGAAUACAAGACACAGUGGCUACCAGCUGGUGCACGACCGAGCAGAUCAGCAGUUUCACAACACAUUGUUCAGACUUGGAGAGAAAACCUUUUCAUCCACCAGCUGCAACUGAUCCUGAAAUGCGGUCACAACGUUUAUCACAGCAAAGCUACAAGAUAUAUUUCAAGAAAAUUACACAGACAGACCUAAAGUAAAGGAGAAGAGAAAAUACAAAGGCGCUGUUGUGCAUUUUCAUGGUCAGUAUUUUAUUUCUAGUCACCUUCGGACAACCGUAACUCCAGUUUGAUCAUCACAGCUGAACUCUUUGACCGGACUUGUUUGGCUCCUUUUCUUAAACAAGCACCGUUAGGAUGCAUUAAUUUUGUUCAGUUAUACCUAACUUAUUAUGUUAUUAAAUCCUAACAUAACUGUUAAAUUAUAACUAGCAAGAUUUGUAUUAAAAAUAAACAGCAUUUUAUAUGCCUAACAUAGAAAUUUUGUUCUCCAGAAUCACAGCACAUUUCAAGCGAGGAUGACUAGCUGGGUGCUCGCUUCACUUGUGCUGUGAUUCUACAGCCUGGCUAACAAACAAACACACACACUGGCUAUGCGGGCUAACACCACCUGCAGCUCUCACCACUGACCUCGGAUCAGAUGCUGCCUCUUCCUGAAGUAUGUGAUCUUGGAGGUGUAGUCGUUAUAGACGGAGUUCAUGCCCCGGUUCUCCAGCCAGUGUGCUGUGGCCACCCCUCUUCCCUGCACCUUCAUGGAGUGCACUCUGGUGUCCCUCCGCAGCUCCAGCACCACCUGGCCGGACACCACCUCCCCUCCGGUGAAGGCUGCAUCAGCCGGACCAUCCAGCUCCAGCGUGAAAGACUUUAUGGAGCUCAGCGUCAUCUCUCUGAGUGAAGACUGGAACAAAGUAAACAAAAACACACAUUUUGACAAGGCUGACCCCUGGCUUACAGUAAUGUUUGCCAUGUGUGUGGAACCGGUUAAAUAGCCACAGCAUGCUGGAGGCGUAAAUGACUGAAGCAUCUACGGGUUCAUGUGGACACCAGAGACCCCAAAAUCAAGCAAAUAAUACAUGUGAAGUCUUGUAUUCAAAUAAUAUUCUGCAAUUUUUUUGAACUGAUUUUAAAUGUAUGCUUGCCAUUACACAGAAGACAAUGUUAGUUUCUUUUAAAGAUCAUACUUUCAGUGUGGGGUUGGGUGGUUCAGUCCUGCCAGCAGCCACUGCUGUGCAGUCUGUUUUUGUUUUUCAAUACGUUUAAGGAAAUGUUCAAUAACGAGUUAUAACAAAAUUUUACACAUUGAUUAUUGCUAAAAUAAAGUUGUUACCAAAGAAUUACAA